Molecule: long non-coding RNA, 3740 nt
Organism: Cyprinus carpio carpio
Lineage: Eukaryota; Metazoa; Chordata; Actinopteri; Cypriniformes; Cyprinidae
Source: Ensembl
AUUGGGUAUAAAUCAGCCUAAAACACUCUUAUUGUGAGCCUGGCUUAAGUUACCUUUUCUGCUUCUUCAAUAGAGGUCACAAACUCCUGCUUCAGAUCACUCAGGUGCUCAAUGAGAUCCUCAUUAACAAAGGUCUUCUCCUUCAGUGUAUCUAGCAGAGAUCCCACUUUCUCCCAGAACUUCUGAAGCUGAACCAGAAUCUGCUGGAUUUGAGAAAGACACUUCUGGACUUUCUACAAGGUGGACGGGACUGGGAAUCACACCUGGACAAACAACAGAUAUUGAGUUAUGAGAGAUCACUGUGAACCUUCAGACCCUUUUAACACAAAGAGCUGUUAAAACAGUUUGAAAAUUAACAAUUCUUUUUCCAGAAAGUAUGAUGCUGAUACUUUUUUUUUUUUUUUUGCAUUUCAUUGCAUUUACAUUUUUUUUACAUAUUGGGUUGUGACUCCAAAAUAACAUAUUAGCUGGCUUAAUUUGUUUAGUAACCAGAUGAUUUAUUUUGUCAUAGUCAUGCUUGAUGUUAAAACAUUUUUCAAAGCUUUUACUUUCAUUGUUUAUUCUAUUGUUAUGCUUGUAUUUUAUCUUUCAUGCGCAAAUUACUGCAUGGUCUGUUUUAUUUGUCACUAAAAUGUAAACAUUUUAAUUGUUAUAGUAAGCGUAUAGCAUAUGUUCAAUGCUUUGAAAUAUGCUGUGCCUGCACUAGGACUCUAAUUGAAUUUAUUGAUUGAUUUCUAACAUAUAACUAAGUAAGCAGCUCCUGUAUAUUAUUGGAUUAUAGUGCCUAUUUAAGUAAGGGAUAAUGUACAUCCAGCCGGUUGUUAUCUCAGAAUAAACCCCGACAGGGUGAUCAGGACCCCAACACGAAGUAAACAAUAAACAAUAUUAUUUAGCUAUUUAAAAAAUAAAUAAAUAAAUUCAUUGACCAGUACUGCACUUAUAGUAUGUAGAUAAGCUUAACAAAAUAGAAUUAACAGAAACUAUAAAUUUAUUCUGAGAUAACAACCGGCUGGAUGUGCAUUAUUUUGCUUAUUACAUGGCUAAAAAGAUUUGUUUUUACCAUAUAUGUUGAAAUUAAUACUGAAGUCUUCCACUGUAAAGUGUUUCAGACACAAGAUCACAUCAGACAGUCAAUGAUAUCGGAGUGACUCGUUAAGCAUAUAAGUAGUACCGGUCAAGAUAACUCGUAGUACCCGGAUGAGCAGUGUGUUAUUCAAUUUAGCAGUUGUUAUCUGGGAAUAACAUAUCGCUAGAUGGUGCGAUUGACCAAUCAGAAUCAAGUUGCAUCACCUUGGAAUGUCACAACUAACCAAUCAAGUGUUCCAGAGAGCUUAUUAUCUAAAGUCGAUCUGUGUCCAAAAUUGCUCUCUCUUUCUAUGUAGUUGAGUGCACUAUAUCAUGAAUAAAUGACAUGAAAUGAACGAAUUCAGAGGAAAAUCUAGAAGAAAAUCUUUAGUCUGGGGCACAUAGAAAAACUCACCCAGCCGUAUUUUGCAAUUAGCCAGCUGCAUCUGAAGAUCAGUCAGUUUGACUUGGAUUGAGGACUCUUGUUUUUGCAGACUGCUCUUUUCAGACAUGAGACGGGACAGUUCGGCGUUGAGAGCUUGAGUUUGAGCAGCAUCACCAGGGCCAGUCACAGCAUCGUCAAUAAAGCUAACAAUGGCUCCAGUAAAUGGCACCAAGGCAGUCAGGAUACCAAAGCCAAUGUUUUUGCUAGAAGCAUCUCGGAUGCGAUUCUGCAGCUCAUUGUUUUUUUCUUCAAUUGUUUUCUGUAUUUCAUUUAUGUUUUCAGCCCUUUUUCUCAGCUCCUCCUCAAGGUUGGCCACGGCCUCCUCCAGACUCUUAAUUUCCUCCGUUGUUUGAGUUAGUUGUUUUUCUGUCUCUGUCUUUUCUUGAAACACAUCACUGGUGCAUGACGCUACACUUUGGUUAUGUUCAUCAUACCUGAAUAUGAUGUAUUUCAGAUAGACAGAGUACAGUGAAUGGACUUGAUACAGUAGAUCACUAUCAUCUCAAGUUUGUUAGAUUAAAACAAUUGAAACAAGGUAUUAUGCAUUAAUUUUACUAUUCAAUGAAAUGUAUCUUUCUGAAGGGAUGUUUCGUUAUUUACAAAUACUGAUUAAGAGAUUUGCUGUGAAAUACUAAACUUCCCCAUGAUAAGAUGUUGAUGAUGUCUUCACCUCUUCACAAUGUCUUCCACAGCUAUAAUGAUGUCAUUAAUCUUUGCUCUGAUUUCCCCCAGGUACUUCACAGCCAGAGAGGGUUCAUUGUGUUCAACAGCCAUCAACAGCGACGGAAGCAGGGAGAAAACCAGGGUGGAACUCGCGAUAACACACUACAAUGAAAUAUAAUUUAUCCACAAGGGCAGUUUAAUACAAUAGUAGCUACAUCACAAGUUUGUUGGCAUUAGUAUCAAUGUGGUAAAAACAUUGACAAUUUGAAUUUUGUGGGAUUUGUUUGAAUUUCAAUCCAAAGAGUGAUGGAACAAAAAAGGAGAAGUUUUCAGACUUAAGCUAUUUUUUCAAACAACAAUAAUUCACAGUGAUCAUAUCUGUCACUACACUUUGAAUCUUCGAAAGCUAUAUGAUUUUUUGCUUUCUUGUAUAAUGUAUUGUUUGUUUAUUUUUGCUUAUUAUUAGUUUUGCUUCUUUGUGAGAGAUGCCUUAUACUGUAUGAAUAAUAACGUAGUUAUUGGUUGGACUGCUGGACCAUCAAUACCCAGAAGUGUGUGCAUGUAUGUUCAAGGACACAGAGAUCUGUGGUUCAACCAAAAUGUUGAAUUUAAAAAGAUUACUCAUGUCCCAGUAUUAUUUUAUGACAUUUAUGUAAGAAGACAACACAAGUUAAUGUUAAAAAAGGCCAGCAAAUAUGGAAUUUUACCCAAUAAAAUAUUAAAUAACGUUAAAAAAAAACACAAGGCAACCAACUGCAUUCAGGGAAACUCUUUCUUGUAUCGCUUUAAUGGGCAGUCUUAACGGAAACUCAUUCAACUUCCUACAGGGAGAGAAAGAUAAAAAUAUGACAACUAGCAUCUGGUUAUGAUCGCUAUUAAAGUGUUUCUCAUGUUAUCUAACUGCAAAUAUAGCAUAACUGCCUGUUAUCUAAAACUAAACAUUAACUAUAACGCGUUUAAUGAAAAUAAAAAUUGUGACAUUUGGAACACUAGUUUUGCAUCAAAAUGCAUUUUCUAGAUAUUACCACCCAACAGUUUUGUUACACCCCUGUCUUACCUCCAGCAGAACCACCACAGAGGAUUUAAACAGUAGCUGUGUUUCGAGAGCUCUUUCUCUGAUCAGACGCUCCAGCUUUGGGAAACCACCCAGACACAGGUAAGAGAGAUGAUAGAGAAGAGCCGUUCGCUCCGCAGCUGGAAGAAGCUCCCGGAUGAACUCUGGAGUCCAUGAGGAAACACUGCUGGAUACAAUCUCUGAGACACCAGACCAAACAUUAGUGAUUGAUAACAACCUCCGGGGUUCAGUCAACGGUGCAUAGGUCAGGCAUACUGUAAAUUAAAUAUAUUAAAUAUAUUCUACAUCUGACUGAUUAUAAUCAUAAAGGUAUGCUAAACAGUGUCUUUUAUCCCUGCAUGGCUGUGUCAUGUUAAAAGAAGUUUUAAACUUUUAAAAAUGGCCCCUGAGAUCCUGCAUUCUUUUCCAGUCCGCUGCAUCUCAGCGUUGGAAUAAUAUGUUUUGUGGAUUGAAUAAAAGGAAUAAAAGCUGCAGUACCAAGUGUAAAAAAAA